Trifolium pratense (red clover) is the source of this 781-nucleotide long non-coding RNA. RefSeq lists it as uncharacterized. The transcript is spliced from 3 exons. The record is from RefSeq and is a predicted model, not a curated record. NCBI's taxonomy places the organism in Eukaryota, Viridiplantae, Streptophyta, Magnoliopsida, Fabales, Fabaceae.
ACUACCAAAAGAACCAAAACGCUAAGAACGACCCAUCUCUCUCGCGAUGCAACCCUAGCGCCGUCGACCUCUACCUCUACCGGCGCCGUCGACCUUUAUCUCAUUCGUCUUCUCUCUCUCACUCGCUCGCAGUCGUCCUAAGCGUCGUCGUCCUCUCUCUCACUCGUCAAAUCGAACUCCAAAUCGAAGCUUUCUCCGGCCUCUACUCUCACGAACGGAACCUUGUCUUUCCCUCUCACAUCGAUUCAGUUCCGGGAGAAGACAGUGGAUGGUCAAGAACCUACUGAUUUGCUGGUUCAUACAGCCGAGGCCUCUGUUGUGCCAGAACUGCUUAGUAAGAAGACUACUUUGAAAAGGGUGACUUGAUUUCAUCUCAAUUUUUAUGUAUUUGAAACAUAAUUUAUCUUUGUGUUUGAUGGUUAACACUUAACAAGGUUCCUCUUUAUGGUUGAUUUUUAUGCCUUUAUUAUGAUUAUUAGAAUUUAAUUUGUUGUUCUGAAUUAUGAACAAUGGCCAUGAUCCUUAGCUUAGCUAUUAAGUAGAAGGUUUAGGAUAAAUUGGAAACUCACUCAUCUUUCUUCCUUGGCCGAACCACACACUCCACCAUUUUCAUCCUUUGGAAGCUUGUUUGAAAGCUAGGAGUUGUGAGCUUCCUCUUCUAAGGUACUAAAAUGAGGUGGUGAAGGAAGAUACUCAUUGGAUUGGCAAAGUGAAAAUAUGGAUUAGAUAUAGCACACUCUUUAAUUUCAAAUAUUAUAGGGUUAUGGAAGAAGGAAACGGU